UUGGAAGAGCUUGCUCAGAUAUGACGAUGGACAUUGCAAAGAGUGGCGAACGGGUGAGUAACACGUGGGAAACCUACCUCUUAGCAGGGGAUAACAUUUGGAAACAGAUGCUAAUACCGUAUAACAAUGACAACCGCAUGGUUGUUAUUUAAAAGAUGGUUCUGCUAUCACUAAGAGAUGGUCCCGCGGUGCAUUAGCUAGUUGGUAAGGUAAUGGCUUACCAAGGCGAUGAUGCAUAGCCGAGUUGAGAGACUGAUCGGCCACAAUGGGACUGAGACACGGCCCAUACUCCUACGGGAGGCAGCAGUAGGGAAUCUUCCACAAUGGGCGAAAGCCUGAUGGAGCAACGCCGCGUGUGUGAUGAAGGGUUUCGGCUCGUAAAACACUGUUGUAAGAGAAGAAUGACAUUGAGAGUAACUGUUCAAUGUGUGACGGUAUCUUACCAGAAAGGAACGGCUAAAUACGUGCCAGCAGCCGCGGUAAUACGUAUGUUCCAAGCGUUAUCCGGAUUUAUUGGGCGUAAAGCGAGCGCAGACGGUUAUUUAAGUCUGAAGUGAAAGCCCUCAGCUCAACUGAGGAAUUGCUUUGGAAACUGGAUGACUUGAGUGCAGUAGAGGAAAGUGGAACUCCAUGUGUAGCGGUGAAAUGCGUAGAUAUAUGGAAGAACACCAGUGGCGAAGGCGGCUUUCUGGACUGUAACUGACGUUGAGGCUCGAAAGUGUGGGUAGCAAACAGGAUUAGAUACCCUGGUAGUCCACACCGUAAACGAUGAGUGCUAGGUGUUUGAGGGUUUCCGCCCUUAAGUGCCGCAGCUAACGCAUUAAGCACUCCGCCUGGGGAGUACGACCGCAAGGUUGAAACUCAAAGGAAUUGACGGGGACCCGCACAAGCGGUGGAGCAUGUGGUUUAAUUCGAAGCAACGCGAAGAACCUUACCAGGUCUUGACAUCCCUUGACAACUCCAGAGAUGGAGCGUUCCCUUCGGGGACAAGGUGACAGGUGGUGCAUGGUUGUCGUCAGCUCGUGUCGUGAGAUGUUGGGUUAAGUCCCGCAACGAGCGCAACCCUUAUUACUAGUUGCCAGCAUUCAGUUGGGCACUCUAGUGAGACUGCCGGUGACAAACCGGAGGAAGGUGGGGAUGACGUCAAAUCAUCAUGCCCCUUAUGACCUGGGCUACACACGUGCUACAAUGGCGUAUACAACGAGUUGCCAACCCGCGAGGGUGAGCUAAUCUCUUAAAGUACGUCUCAGUUCGGAUUGUAGGCUGCAACUCGCCUACAUGAAGUCGGAAUCGCUAGUAAUCGCGGAUCAGCACGCCGCGGUGAAUACGUUCCCGGGUCUUGUACACACCGCCCGUCACACCAUGA
RNAcentral lists this ribosomal RNA (1366 nucleotides) under Weissella confusa. Its description in RNAcentral is "bacterial SSU rRNA". It matches the Rfam family "Bacterial small subunit ribosomal RNA", at positions 69 to 1407 of the family's 1533-position model. Lineage: Bacteria; Bacillati; Bacillota; Bacilli; Lactobacillales; Lactobacillaceae. The record is from RNAcentral.